CAAUAGCGUAUAUUAAAGUUGUUGCAGUUAAAAAGCUCGUAGUUGGACCUUGGACCUGGACAGGCGGUCCGCCUCACGGCGAGUACUGUCUUGUUGGGUCUUUCCUCUUGGUGAUCUGUUGUUUCGGCAGCAGGGAACCAGGACCUUUACUUUGAAAAAAUUAGAGUGUUCAAAGCAGGCUCGACGCCGGAAUAUAUUAGCAUGGAAUAAUAAAAUAGGACGUGCGGUUCUAUUUUGUUGGUUUUUGGAAUCGCCGUAAUGAUUAAUAGGGACAGUCGGGGGCAUUAGUACUCACAUGCUAGAGGUGAAAUUCUUGGAUUUUGUGAAGACUAACUUCUGCGAAAGCAUUUGCCAAGGAUGUUUUCAUUAA
RNAcentral lists this ribosomal RNA (370 nucleotides) under uncultured eukaryote. Its description in RNAcentral is "partial 18S ribosomal RNA". It matches the Rfam family "Eukaryotic small subunit ribosomal RNA", at positions 592 to 976 of the family's 1831-position model. The record is from RNAcentral.